CAAAAGUAUAAUUUUGCAUAUAUAUUGCACACUAGUGCAACAUAUCUCCAAAAUGCAAAGUUUUACUACUAUUUAAAGUUUUUGAAAUUCUAUUAAAAUGUCCAUUUUUAAUGUUUCAAAAUAUUGAUGGAUUUAGGUCUGUUUGUUAAAGAUAUUCUCUGUCGUUCUUCAUUAUUGAUUUGCCAAAGAUGUCCAUUAUCAGUGAUAUAAGAUGCCAUCAUCAUCCAGUAGUAUAGGAGAUCCUAAAUUACUGGUUAUUAUAUAUCUUUUAAUUUUAUUUUAUAAAAUAAUAAAUAUAAGAGCCUUUUCAGAGGUUAUUCCCAUGAUUGAUUGAGAUUAUGAAGGUUAGGAAUUGAUGGAUAGAGUUUUAAUUUAAAGUUUAUAGUUUCAGGGGAAUUCAUAAUGAACACACUAGAUAGCAAGCAAAUGCUAUAGCAUCAGUUAAUGGAUACACACACAUUAUCAUUUAAUUACGUAUAUACAGUAGAACCCGUUUAUACAUUUCUCACUUGUACAUUGUGUUUUGUACACUCUUUCAAUUUUGCAUGUAAAAUCAUCCCACUUGCAUGUUUUCCAUUUAUACAUUUUUGCAUUUCUAUGCUAUUAUUUUUAUUCCCCAGAGUUGUUUCAUCGCACUUAUACCUAAAA
Molecule: long non-coding RNA, 648 nt
Filed under: Androctonus crassicauda
Lineage: Eukaryota; Metazoa; Arthropoda; Arachnida; Scorpiones; Buthidae
Source: RNAcentral